RNAcentral lists this non-coding RNA (80 nucleotides) under Actinosynnema mirum. RNAcentral describes it as "ZTP sequence". It matches the Rfam family "ZMP/ZTP riboswitch aptamer (pfl RNA motif)". Rfam says of the family: Previously known as pfl RNA. ZMP is also known as AICAR. Lineage: Bacteria; Bacillati; Actinomycetota; Actinomycetes; Pseudonocardiales; Pseudonocardiaceae. RNAcentral also lists the same sequence under 1 other name. The record is from RNAcentral.
AUGGCGCAGCACGACUGGCGAGGGUGGGUCACCACCGGGGAGUGCGAGCAGAGCAGGCAUCGCCCGCCUGGGUGCCCCUC